AUACGGAGGGUGCAAGCGUUACUGGGAAUCACUGGGCGUAGAGCGCGCGCAGGCGGCUAUUUAAGUUGGAUGUGAAAGCCUACGGCUCAACCGUAGAACUGCAUCCAAAACUAUUUAGCUAGAGUGUGGGAGAGGAAGAUGGAAUUAGUUGUGUAGGGGUAAAAUCCGUAGAGAUAACUAGGAAUACCAAAAGCGAAGGCAAUCUUCUGGAACACUACUGACGCUGAGGCGCGAAAGCGUGGGGAGCAAACAGGAUUAGAAACCCUAGUAGUCC
Molecule: ribosomal RNA, 274 nt
Filed under: uncultured bacterium
Lineage: Bacteria
Description: partial 16S ribosomal RNA
Rfam family: Bacterial small subunit ribosomal RNA
Source: RNAcentral